GUAAAUGAUCGCCGAUUGAUUCCAAAAGUUCAUGUCUUGCAAAAGGCCAUUUGGGAAGCUUCAAGGCUCAGCCCUGAACUUCAAGAUAUUAAAUUAAAGACUCCCUACUUCUUUAUAUCCAAGAGCAACAUAUCCUUUACUAAAAAAAAGAAAACCAAGUUGGCAAAAUCACAGCUUUAAUUUCUCUAAAUAAAGAAAAAAUAAAUCCAUGCUUACAGCCCCCUUAAAUAUUAUAAGUAGAAGCAUUUACCAGCCCUCAAGCAAGCCAUAAAAAGUAAUGAAAUUGGUACAACAAAAGCCAGUCUCAUGCCUAGAAAUCUUCAUAUGCGAAAAUUGCGUGGCUAAGGGCAUAUACAACCUAAACCACACAAAAGCUCCGAAUAUUUGCCUCCCCAUAAGAAUAGGAUUAUCAUAUCGCAGCUCUCAUAGCUCCUCUAGCAGCCUCGCGCUUCAUCUCAGCAGCUUUACCGCUGCCACGGAAAUACAUGUAUACUUGCUGCACACAUGAAGCCCAGGAGGUUAAAAGAAGAAAAAUGCCCACUGGAAAAAUACGAGUUAUGAGUACAUAUAAGAUCAAAUUUCAUUGCCCAAAAAAAUAUUGUGCAAUAAAUGGACCUGAAGAACCCAGAUACUAAGCACCAAUUCAAUGCAGAAUAAUCCAAAUCCAACGAAGUAGAAUAUCUGUAAGCAAAGCAAACACAAUUAGUGUAGCCCAGCCAGACCACAAUACAAAUAUUGCUAUGUUGAUUUCAAUAUAUACCCGAGUUGAGACUGUAUGUCCUAGUAAUAAAGCAAUAUAAGGAUCAGGAAGUAUCAUGUCAUUAACUGAAAAGGUAUAUUCUUGAGCUAAGAUGUUCUUACCCCAACUAAAGCAUGGUCACCCAAAACAUCUAUUGCAGACAAGAUGCCAGUGAAAGAUUUUCCUUUGAAAAAUAUAGGAGGAGCAACCGCUGCUACAAUGCAGAAGCCAAUGUGAAUCAAAUAAAAAAGGAAGAACCAUCCAAACUUCAUAGCACUUUCAGUCCUAAAUGCACGAUAAAGUGGGCGAUACCACAAAACAUAUGCCCCAGGAACUCCUGAUAUGAAGUAAAUAAUAGCAAGAAACCAGAUUCUCACCCCUUCGCCCUUAAUCCAUGCCGUUGUAACAGCUAUAAUGUUCCAGAAAAGACAGAGAACCAAUCCUAGAAAUGUUGUAAAUGCAACAUAUUGAAUUCUUUGCAGAUGAAUCGGUAUUUCAUUUGCAAUAUCGUGAUGGAUAAUGGGGAAAAAUGGUGGCCAAUUUUUCUCCUCCAGGACAAUUCCAGCUCGUGCAGCUGCAUCUUCACGCCGUUUUACAUCCUGCUCUCGCCUUCUCAAUUCAGCCUCCUUAGCUUGGAGUUCCCUUUCUUUCUUCUUCAAAUCUGUAGUGGAAUCAAUUGGAAUAUCAACUGUUGCACCAUGAUCAUAACCAAAAUCAGCAGGCUCAGGAGGAAGUGGUGAAAGCCUAGAGUUUGAAGCAGGAGGAGCACUUGAUGUGUAAAAUGCACCUCCACUGAACUUCUGCUGACCCGAUGAUUUCCCCCUUACAGCUGGAUCAGAAAAGGGAUUAACUUCUUCUUCAUCAAAAGGGUUAGCAUCGUAGCGACCAGCCAUGCGAAAAACCACUUAUAACCCAGAAACCAACCCGAAGAGAAACCCAAGAACUAAAAACGACGGGAAAAGAAGAGAAAGACAACAGGCUUGAGCAGAAAGCAAUUUUCAAGGAAAAAAUUUAGGCAAUUAACCAAAACA
This 1770-nucleotide unclassified non-coding RNA is filed under the name Hevea brasiliensis (rubber tree). The record is from RNAcentral. Lineage: Eukaryota; Viridiplantae; Streptophyta; Magnoliopsida; Malpighiales; Euphorbiaceae.